RNAcentral lists this small nucleolar RNA (126 nucleotides) under Octodon degus (degu). Its description in RNAcentral is "Small nucleolar RNA SNORA30/SNORA37 family (ENSODEG00000024816.1)". The record is from RNAcentral. Lineage: Eukaryota; Metazoa; Chordata; Mammalia; Rodentia; Octodontidae.
UUAUUUCCUACACAGGUCCUCCCCUGGGCAAUGGGGCCAGGACUUGGUAGCUGGUGCUGAGAGAAAACUUUGUUUGAAUACUUGCCCUGGUACUAUACCAGUCAGCUGUCACUCAGUGGGACAGAC